CACCGCGGUUAUACGAAUUGGCCCAAGUUGAUAGAUAUCGGCGUAAAGCGUGGUUAAGGAAUAACCAAAGACUAGAGCCGAACGUCCUCAAAGCUGUUAUACGCUUCCGAAAGAACGAAGUCCCCCAACGAAAGUGGCUUUAAUACCCAACCUGACCCCACGAAAGCUGUGGAA
Molecule: ribosomal RNA, 174 nt
Filed under: Crenicichla frenata
Lineage: Eukaryota; Metazoa; Chordata; Actinopteri; Cichliformes; Cichlidae
Description: partial small subunit ribosomal RNA
Source: RNAcentral